ACUCAGUUCUCAUAUCAAUGCGAUAUAAAAAAUUGCUUUUAAGUUGGAACUUUUCCAAGUUGAAUACUCGACUUGAACUUCUCAUCUUGUUCGAUAUAUGUUAUCAUACUAGCGGGUAUACCCCGCCCUUAGUCCUCGUGAGCUUGAAUCAAAUUACACAAAUAUUUGAGGAUACCAUUUUCACAAGAAAAUUGACCAGGAAUAAUGUUGCCAGUCUAAGAUGCCAAAUGAAUCUUAAAGCCAAGCCGCGAAGAAAGAGCUAAACCACGUACAAAUCUGAUAAGAUUUGACCGAGUUAUGGGGGUGUGAAAUUUAGACCUAUGUUUAUAUAGGAUAUUUGAGGGCAUAAUUUUCACAUGAAUUUCGGCCUAAAAUAAUGUUGCCAGAUUUAAAUGUCAAAUUGAUCCGGAUGCCAAAUAAUGUAAAAAGUCCCAACCUUUGUGAAAAACAGAUGAGAUUUUACCGAGCUAUGCGGGUGGGAAAUUUUGACCAAUGUCUACAUAAAAUAUUUUAGGGAACUCUUCACUAUAAAAACGACAAAUCGCAUUUGUUAGUGUUGCCAAGUUCUACAGAAUAGAAGGCAACCCCUACCAUUGUUGGUAAAUCAAUUUUACACACGAUAUGACAUUUUUGUUAGCAUUAAAAAUGCAGCAUUUAAAAUUUUCAGGUUUUUAUUUUGUUUCUUGCAUUUGUAUUUUGAGUUUUUUUUUUUUUUUGUAUUUUAAGCAUAUUUUUGUCAGACAUUUACAGAUCCAGCCAUAUUACAUUAAUUAAACUUGAUACAUUUAUUAUAAAUAUUGGAAAAUGGCAUAUAUAUUUUGUUUUUUGUAAUAUUUGUUGUUAAGUGUAACUUGGAAAGAACGUUAUAAAUAUUA
Non-coding RNA from Drosophila virilis, 875 nucleotides. Lineage: Eukaryota; Metazoa; Arthropoda; Insecta; Diptera; Drosophilidae. The record is from RefSeq and is a predicted model, not a curated record.